This 282-nucleotide ribosomal RNA is filed under the name uncultured Eubacteriales bacterium. RNAcentral's name for it is "uncultured Clostridiales bacterium partial 16S ribosomal RNA". The stretch from base 44 to 282 matches the Rfam family "Bacterial small subunit ribosomal RNA", at positions 100 to 339 of the family's 1533-position model. The record is from RNAcentral. Lineage: Bacteria; Bacillati; Bacillota; Clostridia; Eubacteriales.
UUUUACAGAUUUCUUCGGAAUGAAGUUUUAGUGACUGAGUGGCGGACGGGUGAGUAACGCGUGGGUAACCCGCCUCACACAGGGGGAUAACAGUUGGAAACGGCUGCUAAUACCGCAUAAGCGCACAGUACCGCAUGGUACAGUGUGAAAAACUCCGGUGGUGUGAGAUGGACCCGCGUCUGAUUAGCUUGUUGGCAGGGUAACGGCCCACCAAGGCGACGAUCAGUAGCCGGCCUGAGAGGGUGAACGGCCACAUUGGGACUGAGAUACGGCCCAGACUCC